GACGAACGCUGGCGGCGUGCUUAACACAUGCAAGUCGAACGGAAAGGCCCUGCUUUUGUGGGGUUCUCGAGUGGCGAACGGGUGAGUAACACGUGAGUAACCUGCCCUUGACUUUGGGAUAACUUCAGGAAACUGGGGCUAAUACCGGAUAGGAGCUCCUGCUGCAUGGUGGGGGUUGGAAAGUUUCGGCGGUUGGGGAUGGACUCGCGGCUGAUCAGCUUGUUGGUGGGGUAGUGGCUUACCAAGGGUUUGACGGGUAGCCGGCCUGAGAGGGUGACCGGCCACAUGGGGACUGAGAUACGGCGCAGAGUCCAACGGGAGGCAGUAGUGGGGAAUAUGGCACAAUGGGAGGAAGCCUGAUGCAGCAACGCCGCGGGUGGGAUGACGGCUUGCGGGUUGUAAAACGCUUUAGCUUGUGACGAAGCGUUAGUGACGGUAAUGGGUAAAGAAGCACCGGCUAACUACGUG
This 468-nucleotide ribosomal RNA is filed under the name uncultured bacterium. RNAcentral's name for it is "partial 16S ribosomal RNA". It matches the Rfam family "Bacterial small subunit ribosomal RNA", at positions 28 to 507 of the family's 1533-position model. The record is from RNAcentral.